This 253-nucleotide ribosomal RNA is filed under the name uncultured bacterium. RNAcentral describes it as "partial 16S ribosomal RNA". It matches the Rfam family "Bacterial small subunit ribosomal RNA", at positions 524 to 776 of the family's 1533-position model. The record is from RNAcentral.
UACAGGGGGUGCAAGCGUUGUUCGGAAUUACUGGGCGUAAAGGGCGUGUAGGCGGUUUAGAAAGUCAGAUGUGAAAUCCCGGGGCUUAACUCCGGAAGUGCAUUUGAAACUUCUAGGCUAGAGUGCAGUAGAGGAUGGUGGAAUACCCAGUGGAGAGGUGAAAUUCGUAGAUAUUGGGUGGAACACCGGUGGCGAAGGCGAUCAUCUGGGCUGCAACUGACGCUGAGGCGCGAGAGCGUGGGGAGCAAACAGG